This is an RNA transcript of Oryza brachyantha (malo sina), 3536 nucleotides long. It is a transcript of the gene named pentatricopeptide repeat-containing protein At3g62890-like, with no coding region annotated. NCBI's taxonomy places the organism in Eukaryota, Viridiplantae, Streptophyta, Magnoliopsida, Poales, Poaceae. The record is from RefSeq and is a predicted model, not a curated record. The transcript is spliced from 8 exons.
CUUGGGAUUUCGGGGUGUUGCUUGGGGCAUCGGUGGUGGCUGGGUUCGGGCGUCCGGCGGCGGGUGAGCGCGCGGAGCGCGCGGAGCGCCGGAGAGCGUAGGGCGGGAGGCGCCGAGGCGGAGGAGCGGGCGGCGUGCGGCCGCCAGCCGGCCCUGCGGAGCAGGCUGCAGGCGAGGAGGUCGUCGGGGCAGGGUGGCGCCGGCAUCGGGCGUCCCUCGGCGGCUCGGUCAGGCGGGUCCGGGGAGGCGGGGACGGGAGACCGCGACCUGGGCGGGGACUUGUCGUACUUCGACGGGGGGAAUGCCUACGACACGAACCCAUUCGACCUGCGACGUAACCGUGGCGGUGUCAUCCAGAUGGGUCUCGCCGAGAACAGCUUUCUCUGGACCUGAUUGAGGAAUGGAGCAAGAACCACCCCGAGGCAUCCAUUUGCACACCGGCAGGCAGGUUUGAUAAUUGAGAACAAUAGAAGAUGAAUAAGAAAGGCUAGGGAAAGGCGACAUAACAAAGUGGUAAAAAUUAAAAUGGUAAAUUUUUGAUUAUUCAUGUACAUUUCCAUUUUAAUGGGGGCGAGCCACGCCCCCAUUUUUGCUGUCGCUGGUUCCUCGCCUCUCCGUCCGCCUCCAUUCCUGUCCUUGCCCCUGCGGAGUCCGCCUCCAUUCCUUUCCUUGCCCCUGCGGCGGCGGGACUCCAGGCUGCUACCUCCAUGGGCCAUGGAGCAAUGGGCCCAGCAGCGGAGGCAGCACUCGCCCGCCGUGCCGCUGACCCGCUUCCCAUGCUCCGCCGCUGCCGUGACGCGCUCCUACCGCGCCUCUUCGCAGCUCCACGCGCUCCUCCUCACCACCGGGCUUGCAUGCCACUCCCCAAACAUGUCCCUCCUCCUCCGCCUCGCCUCCCCUGCCCUCCCCAUCUCCCACCGUCUCCUCUGCUCCUCGCUCCCGCCCACCACCUUCCUCGCCAACUCCCUCCUCUUCGCCGCUUCCUCCCCACGUUGCCUCCCCUCCGCGCUCUCCCUCUACUCUCUCCUCUCCCUCUCCUCUCCCAUGUCGUCGCCACCGCUCCUCCGGCCGAACGCCUUCACCUACCCGCUGCUCUUCCGCGCCGCGCCCCCGACCGUCGCCCUCGCGCUCGCCACCCAUUCAGUCAAAUUCCUCGGUGCUCAUGCCGCCUCCUGCGAUCGUGUCCUCGGGCCGUGCUGCUUGACGUCUUCACUCGCUGCGGUAGGAUCGCCUCGUGCCGCCGGGUGUUCGAUCGGAUCGCUUGCCCCGACCUGCCGGCCUGGAACGCGCUACUCUCCGCCUACAUGCGUUGUGCCUCGUCUGCUGCGGAUGCUAUCCUUGAGCUCUUUUCACGGAUGAUUUCCCUAGGAACCGUUAGGCCCAACGAGAUCACUCUCGUCGCCGUCAUUGGCGCGUGUGGUGAGCUUGGCGCUCUAGGCCACGGUGUAUGGGCGCACACCUAUCUCGUGAAGCGCCAGCUUGCUAUCAACCGCAUCGUGACCACCGCGCUUGUUGAGAUGUACGCCGGGUGCGGGAGGCUGGACCUAGCCGAGCAUGUCUUUGCCACUGCUUCGGACAGAGACACGCGUUGUUACAAUGCGAUGCUCCAAGGCUUGGCCGCCCACGGUCAUGGUCGUGCUGCCCUUGACCUGUUUGAUAGAAUGCGUGGCUCGGGUGUGCCCGUGGAUGGCGUCACUAUUUUGUCCGUGUUGUGUUCUUGUGCCCAUGCUGAAUUGGUGGAUGAAGGGCUGGAGUACUUUGACAAAAUGGAGAUCGAAUUCGGGAUUGAGCCAAGGAUUGAGCACUACGGAUGCGUGGUUGACAUGCUGAGCCGGGCAGGUCGACUCGAUGAUGCCGAGAAGCUAAUCCAUGAAAUGCCCAUUGUGCCAAAUGCUGCGAUAUACAGAUCUUUGAUCCGGGCAUGCGACAUUCAUGGCAAUCUGGAGCUCGGCGAGAGGAUGAUCACUGAAUUGAGGCAACAUGACCCGGAUGACAGUGGAAACCAUGUCCUGAUUGCCAACUUGUAUGCUAGAAUGAACCGAUGGGAGGAAGCCAAGAAGACGAGGAAGGAGAUGAAGUCCAUGGGCAUUGACAAGAGCCCUGGAUCAAGCCUCCUAGACAUGAAUGGAGUUCUCCAUGAGUUCUUGGUGGGUGACAAGACGCAUCCUGCCUCAAAGGAGAUAUAUACCAUGGUUGAAGAGAUCGAGGCUAGAUUAAGUGAACAUGGGCACCGGUCAAGCACCACAUCUGUGUUGUUUGAUGUCGAAGAGGAGGACAAGGCGGAUACACUGACCUACCACAGCGAGAGGCUCGCCAUUCCCUUUGCUCUCAUCGCUUCGGAUCCAGGAACUCCCAUCAGGAUCAUCAAGAACCUCCGGGUGUGUGCCGACUGCCAUGAGAGCGCAAAGCUCGUCUCUCGGGUGUAUGGUAGAGAGAUUGUCAUGAGGGACCGCACCCGGUUCCAUCACUUCAGAGAAGGGGAAUGUUCUUGUGGAGAUUUCUGGUAAUUACGUCAAGUUUUAUAAUGCUAUAAGGGAGGCCUGUCCGGACAUCCAAAUGAUUUCAAGUUGUGAUUAUUCAUCAAGACCACUUGACCAUCCUGCUGAUUUAUAUGAUUUCCAUGUGUAUACUGAUUCUAGGACUUUGUUUUCGAUGAAGAAUACAUUUGACAGAUCAUCUCGUAAUGGGCCCAAGGCUUUUGUUAGUGAAUAUGCCGUAUGGAGAAGUGAUGCGGGUAAAGGAAGUCUUUUUGCAUCUUUGGCAGAGGCUGCUUACCUUACUGGACUGGAGAAGAAUAGGUGAUCUUUCCUUGAAACAAUGUGAUAUUGCUCAGAUGGCAAGUCAUACGAGUAAUACAUAAGAUGUGAUAUGCGAAUACGAGCCAGCUGUAUAUAUAUGCUUGUAUCUUGAAGCACUACUGCAUAAUGUAACUCAUAGGAAAUGAUGAAUAAAAUUCACAUCAGGCUUAUUUGCUUCUCUCUUUUUUCGCUCUCUAUAUUUGUAUUGGAUGAAACUAGAUGGCAGUAUGGCACAUGCCAUUGCUUUGUUUGACCUAAGAGAAAAGGAAGCGGGAAGAAGAAAAUAUGGACUCUUUGCCCUGAUAAGGAGAGUAAUUUGUCCAACGAUAACAUAUUUGUAUAGAAAUUAAGGCUCAGAUUAAGGACCAAAAAUCUGAGUUUAGCAUUGAGCAGAUCUAAAUGGACCCCAAUCCCUCCUAGGAUGCUUGUUGAUUCUUUUGUGGAUACUGUAAAUCUGGCAUGUUUCCCAUUAGGUAUAUUGGCAAUUUGGCGUUUACAUUUUGAGAAGCCUACAAGAGAAGAAACUCAGCAGCUGGUUGAUAAAAUCACAGGAGAAUAAAAUGUUGGAGAAAGAAGCUUCUGCCUUAUCCACACAGAGUUAUCCUUAUCAAGAGUAGUUUAUCCAUUACUCCUAAACAUCUCUGAUCAUUGUUGGUUGAGGUUUAAACAUGAUUAGCUCCUCUCAUGUAGUUAACUGUCUCUGGACAUGAAAUAAAGUACGAUGAGCUACAUUUAGCU